Molecule: non-coding RNA, 29 nt
Filed under: Rattus norvegicus (Norway rat)
Lineage: Eukaryota; Metazoa; Chordata; Mammalia; Rodentia; Muridae
Source: RNAcentral
UAAAAUGGUGUAGUGCACGACAUCAGUGA